RNAcentral lists this ribosomal RNA (327 nucleotides) under Triticum aestivum (bread wheat). Its description in RNAcentral is "partial small subunit ribosomal RNA". The record is from RNAcentral. Lineage: Eukaryota; Viridiplantae; Streptophyta; Magnoliopsida; Poales; Poaceae.
AUGAAGUACAUGAACACACUAUUUUGCCUAUUUGCACGAUACUUUGGAGAUUACCAUGUGAUUAGUGUUGAAGUAAGAACACACCCAGUUUCAAUUCACUUCUUUGAAGAUGUUUAUGAGAAAGUGGAGUAUUGUUUUGCUUUGGAUUCUCGUGCAUCAGGAGCAUACUUCAUACAACAUGGAGAAAAGGUUCCCUUUGUUCAAUUUUCAUUCUCAGUGAGUACACAUUGGUCAACCGUGGGAAACCCUUUUUUAGAACCUUACUGUUGGAGCAGCUAUUGUUGCUUUAUCUUGUUCAUUACAUCUUGUAAAUAUCCCAUAUUUUAA